This 5280-nucleotide unclassified non-coding RNA is filed under the name Owenia fusiformis. RNAcentral's name for it is "misc RNA OFUS_LOCUS1374". Lineage: Eukaryota; Metazoa; Annelida; Polychaeta; Sabellida; Oweniidae. The record is from RNAcentral.
AAACACAUGGGCUCCCAGAAUGCAACAAUUUUGGCGGGAGAUAUUGAAGAUUGAAAAUCAAAUUACUGUCAUUAAAAGGUUUGAUGUCCGCACGUCGAAUGUGAUCCGGGAUGUAAUAUGUUCAAGGGUAAGUGAACGUCAGCAUAAACUCUUAGGCGGGUAUAGACUAAUCAAUAUUUGCGCAAACUUAUUGCUCGCACUUGCUGUCCAUGACGUCAUAAAUUUGAAAUUGAUCAAAGAUGGCUGACAGGACUGUACAAAAUUUCGCCGACUAGUUUUGCUAAAUAUCGGUCGUGAAAUUGUGUGAAAGGAAUACAUCUGACAUAAGCAGACAACAAUGAAAUGACAUAUAGCAUAUCUCAAAUAUAUUUUACCAAUUUCUGGCAGUGAACCGAAUCAAAUUAGUCAUAGAUAGAACUAUAGCUGAAAGAAAUCACUCUAAGUCAAAAUUUGGAUAUAAGUAUCAGGAUGGCAACUUUGGAUGAGUUUGCGGCAUCAGUGUCUACUCAAGACACCCGUAAGAGGCUGCAGGUUCAUGGGGAUCUAGUACGACACCUGCAGGACCCCAUAUGUUCAAUAUCAUGUGAGGACUUUGAUCAGUUCAUUGAAGGACUCGUUGGUUGGGUUAACUGCAGCAACUAUAAGGUAUCUUUAAAUGGCCUGGAGGUGCUGGGACUAUUGGUGAACAGGUGUGGGGAGAACUUCAAGAUGCAUGUCAGCAAUAUUCUUCCUGCAGUGAUGAACCGAUUAGGAGACAACAAGGAUGAUGUAAGAGAGGGAGCACAGGAUCUCCUGCUUAAACUUAUGGUGCCAGCUUCAUCCGCCCAGUAUGUGUUCGACCGUAUCAUGACAGGUUUCAAGCACAAGUUAUGGAGAGUGCGAGAACAAGUGCUGUUAUGCUUAGCCAGUACUAUAAAUCAUUAUGGUGCCAAAUCUCUCACAUUGUCCAAGAUUGUUCCUUCCAUAUGCAAGUGUCUUGAAGACCAAAGUGGACCUGUCCGAGAUGCUGCUACUGCUGCACUAGUUGAGAUAUAUCGCCAUGUAGGGGAGAGGGUACGGAAUGAUCUCAGUAAAAAAGAAAUUAGCGCAUCCAAAUUAAAAAUUCUGUUUGAAAGGUUUGAUCAAGUGAAACGUAGUGGAGACAUGCUUCCUACAGCAGACCUUGCAUUAUGGGGAAAUGAUGACACAGAUUUCGCCAAACCCCAUGGGGCGGCACCAAAAAAGAUGAUGGCUAGCACAGGACGUAAGAGCAUGAUGCCUACCAGUCGGUCUUCAGGCUCAGGGACUGCAGCUGGUGGGGUAGAUGAAUCAAUGUUUAUUAAAGAAUUUGAAAAUGUUCCAAAAGUCAGUUUUUUCUCUGGUAGAGAGUUAGAUGAUCACAUGGAAAAGAUCCGAGCAGCACUAACAGACCUGAAUCAUGACACUUGGGAAAAACGUGUAGAAGCUUUACGUACACUGCGGGCAUUGAUGAUAGCAGGAGCGAUGGACCAUGAAGACUUUAGAUCAAAUCUGAAGAAUCUGGAGAGUUGUACUAUACAGGCAGCUAAAGAUCUCCGUUCUCAGGUUGUCAGAGAGGCCUGUAUCACAUUAGCGUAUCUAGCUCAGCAAUUAGGAAACAAGUUUGAUAAGUUUGCAGAAGCAGUAUUUCCUACCCUUAUCAACCUUGUACCCAACAGUGCUAAAAUCAUGGCCAGCUCUGGAACAGUAUGCAUACGUUUCAUUGUACAGAACACACAUGCGCCUAGGUUAUUGCCCAUCAUAUUUGGUAAUCUUUCAUCGAAAUCAAGUGUACUAAGAAGAACAUCAUUUGAGCUACUAGACUUCCUCCUCCACACAUGGGAGACCCAUACUUUAGAGAGACAUAUAGCUCAGCUCCAGGAUGCUAUCAAGAAGGGUCUAACAGAUGCAGAUUCAGAAGCAAGGGCUCAUGCUAGGAAGGCAUUCUGGGGUUUCCAUGAGCACUUCCAAGGCCAGGCCCAGAGUUUGCUCAACAAUUUAGACAGUAAGAGUCAGAAGAUGCUACAGGGUGAACUCAGCAACUCUUCUAGUAACAACUCCAUAGCAAGUACAGGGCGACUCACUAUGUCUGCCCCAAGUAAACGUACAAGGUCUGUCAGCCAAGACCGGGCAGGCAGUGAGUCAUCAUAUGGGAGGACUUCUACAGGACCAAGACGGUCCAUGGUCCCCAAAGUUGCCAGCCCUAGGAGUGACACUACAGCCCGACAACGAACACGUUCCUCAAAUUCUACCUCGAAAGGCAUGUCGAAUACAUUAUCUACUCCCGACAGGAGUGCAAGGCAAAGGUCACGGAUAGGUGUCUCUGCUUCACAACCCGGCAGUAGAUCCACUUCUCCGACAUCACGUAUGAAUUAUAUCACAUACCAGCAACCUGAUCAGGGUAUGUUGGCCCCUGGGUCAGCUGGGGGCCCCAGGCGUAGGUCUGGGAUCCCUCGUAGUCAGGGGGCAAGUAGAGAAACAAGUCCAUCGAGCAUGUCCAGGGUUGGAUACAGUCGAGAAAGGCGUACAAGUGGCAGUAGAUCACAGCCCAGGCCAAAGGGGGCCCAGAGGGUACUAGGACUUGGAAAUGUAGAAGCUGCAGAACAAAUACUGGCAGAUAAACUGAGACAACCACUGCGUAAACGUUAUGACACAUACGACUCUGAUGAUGCCAGUGAGACAUCCAGUAUAUGCAGUGACAGAUCCUAUGGCUCAUAUAGCAGAGCAUCUGAGUAUUCUGACAGUGGUCGACGAAGAUCAGGUUAUGGAAAGGAUGUGUCAGAUAUCCUAGCUAACAUGUCCAGUUCAUCCUGGGCUGAUAGGAAAGAGGGACUAAUAGCCCUGCAAGGCCUGCUCAGUGGUUCAAGAUACCUAAAUCGUAUUGAAUUGAAAAAAGUUACAGAAAUAUUUACCAGAAUGUUCCAUGACCCACAUGGGAAGGUUUUUAGUAUGUUCCUGGAGACGUUAGUUGACUUUCUCUCUGUACAUAGGCAAGAUUUAAAUGACUGGUUAUACAUAUUACUAACCAGACUGCUGAACAAAAUGGGCUCUGAUAUGUUAGGCUCUAUACAAAUGAAGGUUCUCAAAGCAUUAGAUUUGGUUAGGGAAUCUUUUCCAUAUGACAGCCAGUUUAAAUUACUAACAAAAUUCAUAAUAGACCAGACACAAACGCCAAAUCUUAAAGUUAAAAUAGCCCUAUUAAACUACUUGCAUCAAUUGAGCACAGUCAUGGACCCAAGUGACUUUAAUAACUCUAGUGACACCAGGCUGGCUAUAUCCAGAAUCAUCACAUGGACAACUGAGCCAAAAAGUGCGGAAGUUAGAAAGGCAGCCCAAUCCUGUCUUAUAGCCAUGUUUAACCUGAACACACCAGAGUUUUCUAUGAUGCUGUCCCACCUGCCAAAAACAUUCCAGGAUGGUGCCACUAAGAUUCUACACAAUCACUUGAGGAGAGGGAGUCAAGAGCAUGAGGUUCUCUCCCCAAGGAACGUUGCUAGUCCACAGACAGCCCCCUCCCCCAGACCUCGGACAUCAUCCAGGACGUUUUCUAGUGACACAAAUCAAGAAACAGAAAAUAUGAAUCCCCAAGAUAUAUUUAACUCAAUUAAAAAGACUACAGCAGACAUUCAAAAUUUAAAUGCAUCAUAUAAUGACACUAAAAAGGAGAGAGACAGUACAUCACAGGAUAGUGGAAUACAGAGUUCAUUGCCAGAUGUUAGUAGGAUAGAUAGCCCAAGUAACAAAGGAGUAAAUCAUGCAGAGUCACCCAGGGCUGUCCUUGCUAGACAGCAGUAUAAUCCAGCUUCAUAUCAAGAUGAGCAAAAUAACUACAAUCGUGCAGCAUUGGCAGAGGCUGUGUUUGAUGUUGAGAAUGAAUUGUUCAAUGAAGAAUUACCAGACCAGCAAGAUAUGAUAUCAGAAAUCCUAGCAGAACUAUCCAAUCACAACGAGCGCCAAGAAGAGCGCAAGAAUGCCAUGUUAACUCUAAUAAAGAUGACACGGGAAGGAACUAUGGCACUAUGGGAUGAACAUUUUAAGACAGUUUUGUUGCUCCUACUUGAAACACUGGGAGAUGAUGAUGGUCACAUCCGAGCUUUGUCUCUGCGUACAUUGCGUGAGAUAAUGAGGCAUCAACCAGACAGGUUCAAGGAAUAUGAUGGCCUCACCAUUCUCAAGAUAUUAGAGGCCCAUAAAGAUUCACAGAAAGAGGUGGUGCGAGCAGCAGAAGAAUGUGCAAUGACAUUAGCUAAGUCUGUACCAUGUGACCAAUGUGUGCGGGUACUUAAGCCAAUCGUAGAGACAGCUGCGUAUCCAAUCAACCUAGCUGGUAUCAAGAUGCUUACCAAGGUUGUUGAAGGAAUGGAGGAUAAAGCUGCCUGUGAGAAGCUGUUGUCUCAAAUGAUACCUGGUCUGAUACGUGGCUAUGAUAACAGUGAGAGCAGUGUGCGUAAGGCCAGUGUAUUCUGUCUUGUGGCCCUCUAUAACAUCAUGGGAGAAGACCUGAAAGUGCACCUAGGAGAUCUCAAUGGCAGCAAGAUGAAGUUAUUGAACUUGUACAUCAAACGUGCAAAGUCCCAGUCUACCAGUCCAUCAAAGGCAGUCUCUCCUACGUCAUCAGAUGGUGGUCACAUGACAGUCUAGCCUAGCAACACAAUGGAUUUGAUUGCAGUAGACACAAUGGUUGCCAAAGGAUCAAGAGUGUUUCUAUGUGGAAACAUAGUAAACAGUGAACUGUGUCUUGAUGACAUUCACAGUUUGGUAACAUAGAACUAUGAUAAUAACACCUGUCACACUGACAUCAUCAUAGUGACAUCAUCAUAAUGACAUCAUCACUGAUCCUGAUUCAUUUGAAACACAGGUGAUUUGAAUUGGAUCACAUUUACAGUGCACCCUGAUGGUGAUAGAGAAAUCCUGUUAAAUGUUCCAUUAAGUAAGGCUCUAAGAGACUAAAUGGAAGUACAGUCAUAAUAUAAGACAUCCCAAGAGCUUACUUGAAACUGAGGUAUAGUAGACGCUAAUGCAUUCUGCCAGUAUGAUCCUCCUGUACAGUCUAAAGCUAAAUAGAGGAAAUCGCAAACUGAGUGUUGGGUGAAGACAUUCUUAUUAGGUGGAAAACACUAUUGCUGUAAUUUCUUAAUGUUGUUGGAUGCAGUCAGUUGAUCCUAGUUUACACUUGAUCUGCUGGUAAGUCAUUGUAUAGACAAGCAAUUGGACCAGUUGCAUCACAGAGUCACUGGACUGGUAAAUCAUUGAAUAAACUAGCAAUUGGACCAGUUGCAUCAC